This 433-nucleotide ribosomal RNA is filed under the name uncultured bacterium. RNAcentral's name for it is "partial 16S ribosomal RNA". It matches the Rfam family "Bacterial small subunit ribosomal RNA", at positions 29 to 507 of the family's 1533-position model. The record is from RNAcentral.
AACGAACGCUGGCGGCAUGCCUAACACAUGCAAGUCGAACGAGACCUUCGGGUCUAGUGGCGCACGGGUGCGUAACGCGUGGGAACCUGCCCUUAGGUUCGGAAUAACUCCCCGAAAGGGGUGCUAAUACCGGAUAAUGUCUUCGGACCAAAGAUUUAUCGCCUUUGGAUGGGCCCGCGUUGGAUUAGCUAGUUGGUAGGGUAAAAGCCUACCAAGGCGACGAUCCAUAGCUGGUAUGAGAGGAUGAUCAGCCACACUGGGACUGAGACACGGCCCAGACUCCUACGGGAGGCAGCAGUGGGGAAUAUUGGACAGUGGGCGAAAGCCUGAUCCAGCAAUGCCGCGUGAGUGAUGAAGGCCUUAGGGUUGAAAAGCUCUUUUACCCGGGAUGAUAAUGACAGUACCGGGAGAAUAAGCUCCGGCUAACUCCGUG